UAAGGAAUAUUGGUCAAUGGACGGAAGUCUGAACCAGCCAUGCCGCGUGGAGGAAGAAUGCCCUAUGGGUUGUAAACUCCUUUUACCAGGGGAGAAAUCUGGUCAUUCAUGAUCAGUUGACGGUACCUGGGGAAUAAGCACCGGCUAACUCCGUGCCAGCAGCCGCGGUAAUACGGAGGGUGCAAGCGUUAUCCGGAAUCACUGGGUUUAAAGGGUGCGUAGGCGGUCCGAUAAGUCAGAGGUGAAAGCUCAUCGCUUAACGAUGAAACUGCCUUUGAUACUGUCAGACUUGAAUUAGGAUAAGGUAAGCGGAAUGUGGCAUGUAGCGGUGAAAUGCAUAGAUAUGCCAUAGAACACCAAUUGCGAAGGCAGCUUACUGGGCCUUGAUUGACGCUGAGGCACGAAAGCGUGGGGAUCAAACAG
This 423-nucleotide ribosomal RNA is filed under the name uncultured bacterium. RNAcentral describes it as "bacterial SSU rRNA". It matches the Rfam family "Bacterial small subunit ribosomal RNA", at positions 355 to 775 of the family's 1533-position model. The record is from RNAcentral.